UAGAGAGGGUGCAAGCGUUAAUCGGAAUUACUGGGCGUAAAGCGUGCGUAGACGGUUAUGUAAGUCGGAUGUGAAAGCCCCGGGCUCAACCUGGGAAUUGCAUUCGAGACUGCAUAGCUAGGAUGCGGAAGAGGGAAGUGGAAUUUCCGGUGUAGCGGUGAAAUGCGUAGAUAUCGGAAGGAACAUCAGUGGCGAAAGCGACUUCCUGGUCCAGCAUCGACGUUCAGGCACGAAAGCGUGGGGAGCAAACAGG
This 253-nucleotide ribosomal RNA is filed under the name uncultured bacterium. Its description in RNAcentral is "partial 16S ribosomal RNA". It matches the Rfam family "Bacterial small subunit ribosomal RNA", at positions 524 to 776 of the family's 1533-position model. The record is from RNAcentral.